GAUCCUGGCUCAGAAUCAACGCUGGCGGCGUGCCUAACACAUGCAAGUCGAACGUGAAAGGGGCUUCGGCCCCGAGUAAAGUGGCAAACGGGUGAGUAACGCGUGGGUGAUCUGCCUCUGAGUGGGGGAUAACCUUCCGAAAGGAGGGCUAAUACCGCAUGACAUCCUGUUCUUGGAUGAACGGUGAUCGAAGCUGGGGACCGCAAGGCCUGGCGCUUGGAGAGGAGCCCGCGUCCGAUUAGCUAGUUGGUGGGGUAAGAGCCUACCAAGGCGACGAUCGGUAGCCGGCCUGAGAGGGCGGACGGCCACACUGGGACUGAGACACGGCCCAGACUCCUACGGGAGGCAGCAGUGGGGAAUUGUUCGCAAUGGGCGCAAGCCUGACGACGCAACGCCGCGUGGGGGAUGAAGGUCUUCGGAUUGUAAACCCCUGUUGGGUGGGACGAACACUCCUGUGGUGAACAGCCAUGAGAGCUGACGGUACCACCUGAGGAAGCCCCGGCUAACUCUGUGCCAGCAGCCGCGGUAAUACAGAGGGGGCAAGCGUUGUUCGGAAUUACUGGGCGUAAAGGGCGCGUAGGCGGCCUGUUAAGUCGGACGUGAAAUCCCUCGGCUCAACCGGGGAACUGCGUCUGAUACUGGCGGGCUUGAAUUCGGGAGAGGGAUGUGGAAUUCCAGGUGUAGCGGUGA
This 690-nucleotide ribosomal RNA is filed under the name uncultured Acidobacteriota bacterium. RNAcentral's name for it is "bacterial SSU rRNA". It matches the Rfam family "Bacterial small subunit ribosomal RNA", at positions 15 to 684 of the family's 1533-position model. The record is from RNAcentral. Lineage: Bacteria; Pseudomonadati; Acidobacteriota.